This 1513-nucleotide ribosomal RNA is filed under the name Parabacteroides distasonis CL03T12C09. RNAcentral describes it as "bacterial SSU rRNA". It matches the Rfam family "Bacterial small subunit ribosomal RNA". The record is from RNAcentral. Lineage: Bacteria; Pseudomonadati; Bacteroidota; Bacteroidia; Bacteroidales; Tannerellaceae.
AGAGUUUGAUCCUGGCUCAGGAUGAACGCUAGCGACAGGCUUAACACAUGCAAGUCGAGGGGCAGCACAGGUAGCAAUACCGGGUGGCGACCGGCGCACGGGUGAGUAACGCGUAUGCAACUUGCCUAUCAGAGGGGGAUAACCCGGCGAAAGUCGGACUAAUACCGCAUGAAGCAGGGAUCCCGCAUGGGAAUAUUUGCUAAAGAUUCAUCGCUGAUAGAUAGGCAUGCGUUCCAUUAGGCAGUUGGCGGGGUAACGGCCCACCAAACCGACGAUGGAUAGGGGUUCUGAGAGGAAGGUCCCCCACAUUGGUACUGAGACACGGACCAAACUCCUACGGGAGGCAGCAGUGAGGAAUAUUGGUCAAUGGCCGAGAGGCUGAACCAGCCAAGUCGCGUGAGGGAUGAAGGUUCUAUGGAUCGUAAACCUCUUUUAUAAGGGAAUAAAGUGCGGGACGUGUCCCGUUUUGUAUGUACCUUAUGAAUAAGGAUCGGCUAACUCCGUGCCAGCAGCCGCGGUAAUACGGAGGAUCCGAGCGUUAUCCGGAUUUAUUGGGUUUAAAGGGUGCGUAGGCGGCCUUUUAAGUCAGCGGUGAAAGUCUGUGGCUCAACCAUAGAAUUGCCGUUGAAACUGGGGGGCUUGAGUAUGUUUGAGGCAGGCGGAAUGCGUGGUGUAGCGGUGAAAUGCAUAGAUAUCACGCAGAACCCCGAUUGCGAAGGCAGCCUGCCAAGCCAUGACUGACGCUGAUGCACGAAAGCGUGGGGAUCAAACAGGAUUAGAUACCCUGGUAGUCCACGCAGUAAACGAUGAUCACUAGCUGUUUGCGAUACACUGUAAGCGGCACAGCGAAAGCGUUAAGUGAUCCACCUGGGGAGUACGCCGGCAACGGUGAAACUCAAAGGAAUUGACGGGGGCCCGCACAAGCGGAGGAACAUGUGGUUUAAUUCGAUGAUACGCGAGGAACCUUACCCGGGUUUGAACGCAUUCGGACCGAGGUGGAAACACCUUUUCUAGCAAUAGCCGUUUGCGAGGUGCUGCAUGGUUGUCGUCAGCUCGUGCCGUGAGGUGUCGGCUUAAGUGCCAUAACGAGCGCAACCCUUGCCACUAGUUACUAACAGGUAAAGCUGAGGACUCUGGUGGGACUGCCAGCGUAAGCUGCGAGGAAGGCGGGGAUGACGUCAAAUCAGCACGGCCCUUACAUCCGGGGCGACACACGUGUUACAAUGGCGUGGACAAAGGGAAGCCACCUGGCGACAGGGAGCGAAUCCCCAAACCACGUCUCAGUUCGGAUCGGAGUCUGCAACCCGACUCCGUGAAGCUGGAUUCGCUAGUAAUCGCGCAUCAGCCAUGGCGCGGUGAAUACGUUCCCGGGCCUUGUACACACCGCCCGUCAAGCCAUGGGAGCCGGGGGUACCUGAAGUCCGUAACCGCGAGGAUCGGCCUAGGGUAAAACUGGUGACUGGGGCUAAGUCGUAACAAGGUAGCCGUACCGGAAGGUGCGGCUGGAACACCU